This 150-nucleotide ribosomal RNA is filed under the name Geotrichum sp. RNAcentral's name for it is "partial large subunit ribosomal RNA". It matches the Rfam family "Eukaryotic large subunit ribosomal RNA", at positions 99 to 261 of the family's 3401-position model. The record is from RNAcentral. Lineage: Eukaryota; Fungi; Ascomycota; Dipodascomycetes; Dipodascales; Dipodascaceae.
CGGCAACAGCUCAAAUUUGAAAUCUGCCCGCAAGGGCCGAGUUGUAAUUUGUAGAUUGUAUCUUGAGAGCGGAUUAAAGUCUGUUGGAACACAGCGCCUUAGAGGGUGACAGCCCCGUAAAAUCUAUUCUCAUUGUAAGAUACUUUCGAA